RNAcentral lists this ribosomal RNA (332 nucleotides) under uncultured bacterium. RNAcentral's name for it is "bacterial SSU rRNA". It matches the Rfam family "Bacterial small subunit ribosomal RNA", at positions 568 to 898 of the family's 1533-position model. The record is from RNAcentral.
CGUGUAGGCGGUUAUGUAAGUCAGAUGUGAAAGUCUUCCGCUUAACGGAAGAAGUGCAUUUGAAACUACAUGACUGGAGUACGGGAGAGGAGAGUGGAAUUCCCGGUGUAGAGGUGAAAUUCGUAGAUAUCGGGAGGAACACCAGUGGCGAAGGCGGCUCUCUGGCCUGAUACUGACGCUGAGACGCGAAAGCGUGGGGAGCAAACAGGAUUAGAUACCCUGGUAGUCCACGCCGUAAACGAUGGGCACUAGGUGUAGGAGGUAUUGACCCCUUCUGUGCCGAAGCUAACGCAUUAAGUGCCCCGCCUGGGGAGUACGGCCGCAAGGUUAAA